Molecule: transfer RNA, 64 nt
Filed under: Mytilus trossulus (common blue mussel)
Lineage: Eukaryota; Metazoa; Mollusca; Bivalvia; Mytilida; Mytilidae
Description: tRNA-His
Source: RNAcentral
AAAGAAGUAGUUUAGUUAAAGAACGAUAGGUUGUGGGGCUAUUAGCGGUGUAAGCCCUUUUUUA